Pezoporus occidentalis (night parrot) is the source of this 1437-nucleotide long non-coding RNA. RefSeq lists it as uncharacterized. The record is from RefSeq and is a predicted model, not a curated record. NCBI's taxonomy places the organism in Eukaryota, Metazoa, Chordata, Aves, Psittaciformes, Psittacidae. The transcript has 5 exons.
UUGACAUUUUUAUCUGACAUAUAGUUUGAAGGAAAAGUCCGCACAAGUGGCAAAUGGUUUCUCUUCUUCGGAAAGGCUGGGAACAGUAUGAUUUAUUUUCCUUCAUUCCCACUGAAGCUUACAGGCGUUUUUCUCAUACUGAUGCUGUUAGGGAUAUGAUAGACAUGAAAUCUACAAAGUUGGUAGCAUAUCAUGAAUUGGUUUGUUUUCUACACUGUGUUCCUUCCAGGUGUCAUAGAAACAGAAAGUAAAAUGCCACUAAGAAGCUGUAUUCUGACCCAGUGCAUCCUUUCUCAUUGAAAGUAUACAGUUAUCUCAGCCUGGGUUUCUUAAAAAUUAGGUUCGUGGUCCAUACAAAGGAGGAGAACAUCCAUCUGCAAUGUAUAUAGUAACCCAUUUUUUUUUGUGGAAGGAGGUAAAUAUACAAUAAAUUGACAUUUGCAUUGGAUGGCUGUUGUUUUAAUGUUCCCCUCCUUUACUCCUAAAUUUGUUUCUGAGAACAAGCGCAUGUGGCUACUGUGGCAUUCACCUGUGCUGCAGUGCACUCUGAAAUUCAGCACUCUAAAUAAAAAGACAAACGUCUGAAGCCUACACUGCCACGUCUGUGCCAGGUGAAGAUAAAUGUGGCUCAGCUUCCUCCCUGCUCUGACCAGCCUGCUUUUAAAAGACAUAUUUAUAAUUCCCAUCACCUGAAAAAGUCCAGAUUUGCUUUUUAAUUGAGAAAGCCCACGUGCUCAUAUAAAUGCUUAAAAAUCUUUUAAAAUCACGUGAUUUAAUGUAGUCAAGGUAACCCAUGCAAAAGAAGAGCCGCUUGGCAGACUACAUUUCCCAGGAUCCCACCUAGGUGGAAGCAGAGGGCACAACCUGCUCCCAGGUAUAAAUGCUCACAUGUGAGUGCCCGAGGGCACAGUUGGAGCCUGUUUGGGGUAGCUGGUUGCUGGUUUUGGCGCAGAGACAGUUGCGCGGCUCCAGUGCGCCUGUGUGAAGAUCCAGCCACACACUGAUGAUCUGAGUGACCAGCGUAAACCGUUCCACUCCUUUAAUUUCCUUCCACUGAGAUGAAGCUUGAAGUGUUCUCCAAAAGAAUUGUGCUUGAAUCCCCCAGCUCAUAUGACUGGAUAACUGAAACAAUUUGAAGUCUGUUUUUACUAGAACCUGAUCACCACCUGACUGAGUGAAGAAACUGAGGACUGUUUGAAACUUCCUUGGACAUUAAUAGGUUGACUGCUAUGUUGCUGAACUUAGUGCAUGAAAGGUCAGCCUUUGAAAAGCUAAAUAAGGAGGCUCUGUUACCCUCCCAGUGGAAGCACAGCUGACCCUGCUGCUCAUGACCCUUGAGACCCAUGUUGGUGCAUGUCCACCAUGGGCAGGAAGGCCAGUCCAAUAACAGCACCAGGCCUUACAGAAAGACAUGGUUUGCAUUCAUCUCUGUAGCCA